Psammomys obesus (fat sand rat) is the source of this 90-nucleotide small nucleolar RNA. RefSeq annotates it as small nucleolar SNORD12/SNORD106. The transcript has a single exon. The record is from RefSeq and is a predicted model, not a curated record. NCBI's taxonomy places the organism in Eukaryota, Metazoa, Chordata, Mammalia, Rodentia, Muridae.
GCUGGUGUAAAUGAUGACCACUUUUUUCCCCGUCAUAUCGAAAAUGCUGAUUUCUUAGAAAUAUUUGCCAGUUAUUUCUGAUACACCAGC